UACGAACUGUGCAAACGUUAUUCGGAAUCACUGGGCUUACAGGGUGCGUAGGCGGCUUGUUAAGUAGGGUGUGAAAGCCCCCGGCUCAACCGGGGAAUUGCGCUCUAAACUGGCGAGCUGGAGUGAGAUAGGGGUGUGUGGAACUUCCGGUGGAGCGGUGAAAUGUGUUGAUAUCGGAAGGAACGCCGGUAGCGAAAGCGACACACUGGGUCUUUACUGACGCUGAGGCACGAAAGCCAGGGGAGCGAACGGG
This 253-nucleotide ribosomal RNA is filed under the name uncultured bacterium. Its description in RNAcentral is "partial 16S ribosomal RNA". It matches the Rfam family "Bacterial small subunit ribosomal RNA", at positions 524 to 776 of the family's 1533-position model. The record is from RNAcentral.